UAGUCCACGCCGUAAACGAUGAGAACUAGAUGUUGGGGAAUUUGUCCUUCGGUGUCGCAGCUAACGCGUUAAGUUCUCCGCCUGGGGAGUACGCCGGCAACGGUAAACUACAAAGGAAUUGACGGGGUCCGCACAAGCGGUGGAGCAUGUGGUUUAAUUCGAUGAUGCGCGAGGAACCUUACCUAGGCUAUAAUGUGAGCGCAAUCUGGUGAAAGCCGGAGUAAGGUGGGGAUGACGUCAAGUCCUCAUGGCCCUUACGUGGUGGGCUACACACGUGCUACAAUGGCGCUAACAAUGGGUUAAUCCCCAAAAGGCGUCUCAGUUCGGAUUGUCUUCUGCAACUCGAAGGCAUGAAGUUGGAAUUGCUAGUAAUCGCGUAACAGCAUGACGCGGUGAAUACGUUCCCGGGCCUCGCACACACCGCCCGU
This 428-nucleotide ribosomal RNA is filed under the name uncultured bacterium. Its description in RNAcentral is "bacterial SSU rRNA". It matches the Rfam family "Bacterial small subunit ribosomal RNA", at positions 791 to 1397 of the family's 1533-position model. The record is from RNAcentral.